GGUUGGUCCCGGCGGGGGAAGGAGAAAGUGAGACUCGGUGUCAUCACCAAUCCGUCGCCAGAAGGGGAGGAAACUGGAAUCCAGCAGCGGCGAGCAGCAGCUGGGCGGUCACAUCUGGAAAUGGAAAGCCGACCUCCCCCUCCUCCUCCACCUCUUCCUCCUCCUCCUCCUCCUCCUCUCACCCAGGAUCACUUCCGAAACCACUUGGCCUUCAGCCCCUGCCUCGGCCAGAGGUUUCAUUUUUAACUGAAUAUUUACGAAAGCUGAAAGCGUGCGAGGGGGGUGGGGUGGAAAUAGCGGCUGCUUCUUUUCCAAGGAUUUAUUUAAUGGGGAUGUGUUCAAGGCAAGACCGAAUUCAGAAGGAUAUCGACGUCGUGAUCCAGAAGUCCAGAGCUGAGGACUGCCUGUUUGCAGAUUUCAGGUACUCAGACUCCACCUUUACUUUUACCUAUGUUGGCGGCCCCAGAAGGACAACUGUGCAGACUACAAAGCUUCGGAAAACCGGAGAGGCUGAGUCGACUAAUCGUGUUGUUGCACGUUAGAAACGCUUGCAUUGCCUGACUCUGAAACCAGAAGGGCGGCCGAAUGGCCUUCACCCUCCAUUAACCCUCGCCUCCUUCAGAAGCCAGUGCCUCUGGAAAUGCCUGGAUCUGCGACCCCAGCCUGAGCCUAGUAGGGCCCAAGGGAAGCUGAACGCCCCGACGGCUCUCAUGGUAGAGAGCGCAGCCCUCUUCUAGCACAAACACCGUUUCCCACAUUGAAGAAAUCACAGAGAUCAGCAACUCUAGAGUGCGAUGAAGAAGCUUCACUCUGGGAGAACCCCCUUCGUGACCACGGUCUCUUUCCUGCCAGGGCACCGGCAACAGUUUUCCGUUUGUGCCUACUCCACCUGCUGUCUUUGUUGGGUCAGCGAACAUCGCCUCCCUCUACCGCUCAAUCAGCAAAAGGGACCGCCCUUGAGGACCUCACCCGCGGCUCACUCCCCUCCCAACUUCGCGGGCAUCGCCUCCGGUCGCCUCUUCCGAAGGCCUAACGAGCAUGUUAGCUGCGAACGGAGGUGAGGAGGCUCCGCUGACUGACCGGUGCCCAUGUCCAGGGCACGCACAAACGCCAUGACUUGGCUUGGCCUCUCUCUUAGUUAUUCACAAGCUCAGCCCGAUAGGCACCUCUGGGGCGGCGACGGCAAAGAGGGUGCGCUUAUUAAGUGCAGCUCCACGGGGACUGGCCUCUGCACGGCUGUGUACACCUGAGCGAGACGCUCAGUCGCUCUCUAAAGCCGCUUCUGCGGAUGACAGACACGGAGAUAAACGUGAGAGGUGGCCCACCACGACUUGCCCUCCUUUGCCCGGGUUUGCCCCUCGCUGCGGAGGCUGUUCUACAUCUGGCCCUUGGAGCAGGCCGGCUGACAGCGUGGUAAAGGAAGAUUUCUGCGGGAGGGCGGCCAGUGCAAAACAAUUCCCUGACCGGGAAUCGAACCCGGGCCGUGGCGCUUUCAGCACCGAAUCCUAGCCACUAGACAACCAUGCAGAUGCGGAAAGCUGCUUUCUCUCCCUUCUUCGACCUGAAGCGACACUUUCCUGUGCUCUAGGAGGACUUGGGUCUUGUGAGAGUCUCCCUUUGCUCCUGGAGUCGUCUCACAAGGCCGUUCACUCCCUGCUUUCUUCAAAAAAAGAACCUGCAGGCGACACACCAAGGGCUCCACGAGGGAGUCCUGAGUACUGGAGCGAGUUGCGGCCACGCGGCCGCAGCUCACCACUGGCCUAGAGAUGCCCUUUGCCAGGCGGCAGCAACUGACAAGAUGGUCGCGGGUCGCCGGGUCCGGAGCCGCCCACCAGGUUGCCAGGAGGAGGCGGGAGCGGGGAGGCGCCCGAGGUGAGACGGGGGCACCCUCUGCAUCAUAAAGGACCCAGACCCCGGCACCCUCAACAUCAUAAGGAAUCAGACGGAUGCGGAAACCGAGGCGGGCUGGAUAGGAAACUCUUUCCAGGAAGGCUCCGGGGCACUCAACUGGUCUCCAACCUUCCCCUGCAACCUGUGACGCCUGCCAUUUUCCCAUUUUAGGCGAUGGCAACGCAACCCCUCCGUUUGCUCUGGGCAAAACUUCGAGAGUUCCCUCUGAAGCUGGAGCUUUUUCCUCAGAUCCAAGAUCCAAUUGGUCACCAAUUCGUGAUUUCCGUCGGCCAAGUGCGUGGGCAUUGAUCUACACGCGAGUUUCUCCACCUCUGCCGAAUGGCUACUUCGGGGUGGGGGAGGGGCCCUCCCGCCGUGGAUUGCAAGGUGUUUAGCAGCAUCUGUCUCCUCCGCUGACUAGACACAUGCCAGGGGGAUAACAUUCUCCCUCCCGCUUCCCCCAGCCGCGGCCUAGUGUCCCAGCGGGGUUGGGAGAGGCAUGUGAGGGCGAAGUUGCCCCCUGUUGAGAACCAUUGCUGCGCGUAGUCCUUCUCUCUGAACUUGUGCAGAGGACUCUCCAGGUGAAGGCUCAAGGGUGGAUCCAGCUCGAGACACCCUCGCUCCCCCUCACAGUCGGACCUUAGGAUUUAGGCUUUAACAUCUCCACAUCAUGAGAUUCGAAACCUUUAGGUCUUGUCUUCCGUUCUGUCCUCCAAAUCGGCCUCUUCCGAGCCUGUUGACCAGGGCCAGCCGGGCAGAGGGCUGGGCUCGCUCAACGAGGCUCCUCUCGCACCUCCUGGAGCUUCAGGCUUCUUUCCGUUGCAGAGAAGCUUUAUGGGCCAAUUCGUUCGGCAUCCCCGGGGGCAGGUGCGCGGUGCGCGGGGAAGAAGAGGAUUUGACUGCGGUUCUCCACCCCCGGCGCCCAACCUCCACCCCGGUGCGCGCGCUCUUCCAGGCUCCUGCUGGUCCCACUUGCCAGGAGUUAGGUCUCAGGUCAGCCUGAGCUCCUGAGACGCCCAGGCCCGGAAAGACACGUAGGGGAAACCAUCUGCUCACUUCUGUCCUGUCCGGAAGGGAUCCCUUUCUGACGGGAAAGAAAGGCGCUAAACAAGCACUGGCCUUGAGAUAAGCAAUGCUGAAGCACUUGCAGCUCACCUAUUACCAUAAACUGACUGAGCCCUCCCUACACAAGCCGUAACUACUGCUUUGAUUGGACAAGAGACUGAUUUCAGUAGUUUUCUCUUGAUAAGAGACCACUGGCCGUGGGCGGGUUCUGGACAGUUUACAGAAGCUAUGCACUUGAUUGCCUUUGUGUCCCUGCUUCACCUUUUGAAGCAUAGGGCCUAAUUAUAAUGUAUUUAAAUGUUGUCUCCACCCCAAAGUGAACAUGGGUUGCAUGUAACAGGCAUGUUUACUCAGCAUGCAUGCAGCAGGAUCCCUUCACAAAUAUUCAGAGCUCCCCCUAUUCCCUGUUGAAUAUGUAUAUGUGGCCAGCCAGAUCAACGUAAAUCACUAUUCGCCCUCCCCUCCCUGGAAACCUACUUUUCGGGUUUCAGCAGGAAGCUAUGCCUCCCAGUCUGUCAGAAUGGCCACUUGCAGGCUGUAACCCUUUAUAAAAAAAUAAAAUCUCCUUUCUAAAUUUA
This 3533-nucleotide long non-coding RNA is filed under the name Homo sapiens (human). Its description in RNAcentral is "long independently transcribed non-coding RNA 1145, transcript variant 8 (LINC01145)". Lineage: Eukaryota; Metazoa; Chordata; Mammalia; Primates; Hominidae. The record is from RNAcentral.